Molecule: transfer RNA, 90 nt
Filed under: Alphaproteobacteria bacterium
Lineage: Bacteria; Pseudomonadati; Pseudomonadota; Alphaproteobacteria
Description: tRNA-Ser
Rfam family: tRNA
About the family: Transfer RNA (tRNA) molecules are approximately 80 nucleotides in length.
Source: RNAcentral
GGAAGAGUGGCAGAGUGGUUGAAUGCACCGGUCUUGAAAACCGGCAAGGGUUCACGCCCUUCGUGGGUUCGAAUCCCACCUCUUCCGCCA